RNAcentral lists this unclassified non-coding RNA (177 nucleotides) under soil metagenome. RNAcentral's name for it is "partial internal transcribed spacer 1". The record is from RNAcentral.
UCGAGUUGGGGCCUCGCGCCCCGUUCUCAUCUCUAUCCUGUGUUGUUGACCGGGUUGCGGUGGUGCUUGGUGGCGGCCGUGUCAUGCGGUCGUCGCCCACCGCCCAGCCCAUCUUCUUCAUACAUCAUCAUCCAGUUGACCUUGUCUUGACUGAUUGUGUAUUCGUAAUGGUUAAAA